RNAcentral lists this ribosomal RNA (449 nucleotides) under uncultured bacterium. RNAcentral describes it as "partial 16S ribosomal RNA". It matches the Rfam family "Bacterial small subunit ribosomal RNA", at positions 29 to 523 of the family's 1533-position model. The record is from RNAcentral.
AGCGAACGCUGGCGGCAGGCCUAACACAUGCAAGUCGAACGAAGUCUUCGGACUUAGUGGCGGACGGGUGAGUAACACGUGGGAACGUGCCUUUAGGUUCGGUAUAACUCAGGGAAACUUGUGCUAAUACCGAAUGUGCCCUUCGGGGGAAAGAUUUAUCGCCUUUAGAGCGGCCCGCGUCUGAUUAGCUAGUUGGUGAGGUAAAGGCUCACCAAGGCGACGAUCAGUAGCUGGUCUGAGAGGAUGAUCAGCCACAUUGGGACUGAGACACGGCCCAAACUCCUACGGGAGGCAGCAGUGGGGAAUCUUGCGCAAUGGGCGAAAGCCUGACGCAGCCAUGCCGCGUGAAUGAUGAAGGUCUUAGGAUUGUAAAAUUCUUUCACCGGGGACGAUAAUGACGGUACCCGGAGAAGAAGCCCCGGCUAACUUCGUGCCAGCCGCCGCGGUAA